RNAcentral lists this long non-coding RNA (3455 nucleotides) under Canis lupus familiaris (dog). RNAcentral's name for it is "lncRNA (ENSCAFG00030020300.1)". Lineage: Eukaryota; Metazoa; Chordata; Mammalia; Carnivora; Canidae. The record is from RNAcentral.
AUGAAGAGAAAGGAACUUUGCCCGCCUGAGAAGACAGGGGAUAACAUGGAAAGGGAAAUCAUAAAAUUGAGUGCUUGCUGUAUUUUAGGGCUUUUUACGUAUGUUCUUUUUUUUUCUUUUCUUUUUUAUUUAUUUAUUCAGCACACACACACACAGAAGCAGAGGCAGAGGCAGAAGCAGGCUCCAUGCAGGGAGCCUGACGUGGGACUCGAUGAUGGGUCUCUGGGAUCAUACCCCGGGGCCGAAGGUGGCGCUAAACCACUAGGCCAUCGGGGCUGCCCUUUUUAUGUAAGUUCUUACUGCAUCCUCACAGAACCCCUGAGAGGUGAAUAUAUGGUCUCCAUUUUACAGAUGAGGAAACAGCCCAGAAAGGAGACAUGGAUUAUCCCCUGUCACCCUGUAAGCGGCAGCCCUGGAACUAGAGUUCUGAUCUCAGUGCCCUGGAGAAGAGAAAUGUGGCAGAGGCAGUGGAAGGCUCCAGCCUCCAGUUAAUGAAAUGUGGCGCGCGGCCGCACAGACAGCUGUCAGACCCCUCAUUUCUCGCCGGGAUAUUGGAUCCGCGCUGGGAGACCGACAGGUGAGCGGAGGAGGGGCUGUGCGGGGGGCCGAGCGAGGGGCGCCAGCUGGCGAGAGCCCGGAGCCCAGGAGGCAGCGCCAAGCCCAAAGCCUCGAGGGCAAGGCUAAGCGGGGGUCGGCCCUAGAAUGCUCUUUGUGCCCGCGGUUCUUGCCACUUCUCCAACAGGCGGGAGACUUAACGAGCCCCAUAUCCACCGCGGCCGGACCCGGGCCGACCCGGGACGCCUGGUCCUGCACCCCAGGCGGGCCUGGCUCCCGCGUGCGCCGCGCGCGGCGGCUCUGAGUCGGCGGCCGCAGCCCGGCGCUGCCUCCCACCUCCUUCCACCCCUUCCUUCUUGCUCCCCCUCCUUUCCGCGCUCCCUCCCCGGCGGCCGCGGCCUUUAUUAGGGAUUCCGCGGCUGUCGGUCCCGCCAUCCAUCCUGUCCGCCGGCAAUUAGGCGGCCAGACAAAGAGCAGCUUCGGAUGGAUGAGGGUCCCGGCGGAUCGGAAAUGUGAAGGGUCAGCGCUGCCGCCCGCGGCGCACCCCGCUCCCCCCUCCGCAUAAUCACCGGCCGCCCGUCACUCAGCCGGCCGCCCGGGGAGCUCCGGGGCCGGGGCUGGGGAGAGGGCGGGGGUGGGACCACAGCCUAGGCGCCUAGGGCGAGGCGAGGGCGGACCUGCAAGAGGGGCGCCUCCUGCGGGAGAAUCGAGGGCUGCGGGGAGGCCGGAGGCACCUGCAGGAGAGGGGGGGGGCAGGAUAUGGCCCCGGGCGUGACCUGAAGGCGGACCGGGGACCGCAGCCUUUGGGGGCUUCCAGUGCGGAAGCAGGGCUCUAGCUGCAGAAGAGAUGAGGGUGGUGGCCCAGGCGCCCCCUGCUGGGAGACUGGGGAACGAAGCCCUAAGGGUCUCCGGUCUGUACAAGGGAAACUGCGCCCGAGGCAGAGCUUUCCUAGGGAAACUGAGGGUCUGUGGCCUGGUGCGCCUCCUAUCGGAACAGAACGAUACUGCGCUCCUAUUCCCCGAUCCCUUAAAUGCAAUCCAACAUCCACAUCAAAUCCAGAAAAGCUCCAAGGCUGGGCGAACCCGCACGCAGUCGAGUGGAAGUUCAAGGAGUCCGGGUUUUACUGCGGAUUCUUUGGCGCUAGCUCCCGGCUGACAAAUCAACAUCUCAAUCUGACAAUUAGUGGUCGAGGUGGGGGGAGAGGGGCUCUCGCCGCCUGGGCCGCUUAGCCUUACCCGCGGGCGGCGGAGAGGUGGGCGGUGGCUGGCAGUGAUGAACGACUCCGGGGGGGCCCGGGGCCCGGAGCGCGCAUUCAUUACUCGACUGACAGGCGGAUGGCGGGCCGGGCGAGCAGCGAGUGGACGUGCCCGGAAAGAGGCCAGUGACAGGAGAGAGAGUAAGGGAAGCGUUUAAUAGCCCCACCGACCGGUCAGCUCCCAAUUCUCUGCCUCGACCCUGGUACUUGACUUCUUUGAGCUCGGCCUCCUAACCAUUGGAGCUGGCUUUGGUUGUAGAAUUGGAGGAGCGGGGGCGGGAUCCUAAGCCCUUUCCCUGGGUUAGGUGAUUAAAGGUCUAACGUCAAGAAAGUCUGUAGGGAGGCCUUGGGACUGGGCGCUUCAGCCUGACCUGGGAGGAAUUGUGCCUAUCUGUGCGCGCAGAGGUGGUGUGUAGGACAGGGAUUGAUGAGUGUGACUCACAUGUGGAAGUCAGUGACAGUGUGGGUCACUGUUAGGAGUGUGUCAACCUGAUUUUGUCAGUGGUUGUGUGUGUUGUGUGUGUGUGUGAGGAUCAGCCGCAGCCUCUUCUUUCCUGUCUGUGCUGCCCCCCCCACAACACUACUUGCUGUCAGCUCUCUCUCCAGUUCUGUAAGAAAUGGCAGUGUGCACAGUGACAGCUGAGGUAUGCUGCUGGGGGUGGGGGGGUAGAUGUUAACUGUGAGGAUGCUGGUCUGGACAAGUGCUCCUUUCCAUCAUCUCCACCCCCAAACAUCAGCUCUUCUCCAACCUUCCUGAGAGUAGUGGAUGCUUUCUCCAAAGCCUGGAGACCCAGUUGCUGAGCCUUGGGGAAGGAAGUGGUUACUAGAGUUUUCCAUAGUCCACACCCCUACACAUACACAGUCUUCAUUGCAUGCGGGAUGUGAUCUCCAACACAUCUUAGUUCCCCAGACUGGUGGUGGUCAGAGAGGAGGAAGAGGUGGAUCUCAGGCAGGGGUCAGACCAUCAGACCUCCAAGAGAGCCCACCUCUUUGGGGCCUGGGCUAGUGGCCCCUGGAACCCUUUACCUUUUGGACCACAGGUCCUGUUACUAGUUGAUACCUUGGGACAAUAAUGCUAAUUAUAGUCUGAUUCCUCUCUCUUAUAACUCCCAUUCUUCACUUGGCUUUGUCCUCCCCCACUCUCAAACCCAUCAAAAGAUUAAGCUUUGUUUCCUUCCCAAUCCUGAAUCUCCUGGGUCUAUAGGGCAGUUGGGGGUGCUUCUGGAUCUCUGGUUCCCUGUUUUGUUCAAUGUGUCUUUCAGCCACCUUCCCUUUGCCUUGGUCUUCCUCAUAGCUAGGGUAUCUCUUGGAACCUCUAUAUCUUUGUCUCUCUCUGUACCUCUCCUUGUGUCCGUGUUUAGGGAUCUCCUCCAAAUUUGUCUCCCUACAUUUUGGGGGUAUGUCUUCGUUCUGCUGGGCUUCUCCCUUUGGGAAUGCACCAGUGCAACGGUGAGGCCCAUGGGAAUGGGCGAGGGAGCAAAGCUGCCUUCCUGCCCCCAUCUAGAGGCGACUGCAACCCAAGGAUGGACACGACCGGGUCGCUUCUCAUUCAGUGCACAAGCACUUGGUCGAUGCCCCGCUGUCCGCCCCCACCCCUGCAGCCGCCCUCCGCCAGGCGCCCCCCCCACCCCCGGCCCCUCCGCC